RNAcentral lists this transfer RNA (74 nucleotides) under Blastopirellula retiformator. RNAcentral describes it as "Planctomycetes bacterium Enr8 tRNA-Glu". It matches the Rfam family "tRNA". From Rfam's summary of the family: Transfer RNA (tRNA) molecules are approximately 80 nucleotides in length. Their secondary structure includes four short double-helical elements and three loops (D, anti-codon, and T loops). Lineage: Bacteria; Pseudomonadati; Planctomycetota; Planctomycetia; Pirellulales; Pirellulaceae. The record is from RNAcentral.
GCCCCCUUCGUCUAGUGGCCCAGGACGUUGGAUUCUCAGUCCAAAAACAGGGGUUCGACUCCCCUAGGGGGUAC